CUAACACAUGCAAGUCGAACGCGAAAGGGGCUUCGGCCCUGAGUAGAGUGGCAAACGGGUGAGUAACACGUGGGUGACCUGCCUUCGAGCGGGGGAUAACGUUCCGAAAGGAGCGCUAAUACCGCAUAACAUCCUGCCUUUGGAAAGGUGGAGAUCAAAGCCGGGGAUCGCAAGACCUGGCACUUGAAGAGGGGCCCGCGCCUGAUUAGCUAGUUGGUGAGGUAAUGGCUCACCAAGGCUACGAUCAGUAUCCGGCCUGAGAGGGCGGACGGACACACUGGGACUGAGACACGGCCCAGACUCCUACGGGAGGCAGCAGUGGGGAAUUGUUCGCAAUGGGCGCAAGCCUGACGACGCAACGCCGCGUGGAGGACGAAGAUCUUCGGGUCGUAAACUCCUGUCGAGCGGGACGAAUGUUCCGCGAGCUAAUAUCUCGCGGAAGUGACGGUACCGCUAAAGGAAGCCCCGGCUAACUCCGUGCCAGCAGCCGCGGUAAUACGGGGGGGCAAGCGUUGUUCGGAAUUACUGGGCGUAAAGGGCUCGUAGGCGGCCAACUAAGUCGGAUGUGAAAUCCCCAGGCUCAACUUGGGAACUGCAUCCGAUACUGGAUGGCUUGAAUUCGGGAGAGGGAUGCAGAAUUCCAGGUGUAGCGGUGAAAUGCGUAGAUAUCUGGAGGAAUCCGGUGGCGAAGGCGGCAUCCUGGACCGACAUUGACGCUGAGGAGCGAAAGCCAGGGGA
RNAcentral lists this ribosomal RNA (738 nucleotides) under uncultured bacterium. Its description in RNAcentral is "bacterial SSU rRNA". It matches the Rfam family "Bacterial small subunit ribosomal RNA", at positions 48 to 767 of the family's 1533-position model. The record is from RNAcentral.